Long non-coding RNA from Mirounga angustirostris (Northern elephant seal), 477 nucleotides. RefSeq lists it as uncharacterized. NCBI's taxonomy places the organism in Eukaryota, Metazoa, Chordata, Mammalia, Carnivora, Phocidae. The transcript is spliced from 4 exons. The record is from RefSeq and is a predicted model, not a curated record.
AGUCUUUGGUACAUUUAUAUAUAUUGGAGAACUCUUCACUUCACAACGAUGGCCAUUUCAAAAUUGGGGUACAAGUUGAAUUCUAUAUGAAUGAAAACACAUUUAAAGAGAGACUAAAGUUAUUUUUUAUCAAAAACCAGAGAUCAAGUCUAAGAAUUCGUCUAUUCAAUUUUUCUCUCAAAUUAUUAAGCUGCUUAUUAUACAUAAUCCGAGUGCUACUAGAAAACCCUUCACAAGGAAAUGAAUGAAAGGGUUCCUUCCCUUUGUGGCACUGCAGUUUUUCUCUCAUCCAAUUCACUUCCACGCACCUGGCACCUGGCAUGCUGUCUCCCUCCAACUGUGACCAGUUGUGUCUCCAACUGUGACCAACUUCUCCCAGUUCCCAGAUGGAUUUCCUGGGUGUUCCAAGUGAUCUGACCUCAAUACAGCUGUGUUCAAGGGAGGAGGAAAGCCCAGGGUUCUCCUACUUCUCCACCA